UUCCGUAGGUGAACCUGCGGAAGGAUCAUUGACGCGCGGAAGGCGACCGACACGCGAACCGUCACUUCUCCCGACCGCGGGCUCGCGGGCGCGGCCCUGCGGCCCCCCCCCCGGCUCCCGGCGCCUCGGCCGUCCUCCCUYGGGGAGGGACGGCCCGCCGGCGCGGGCGGGAGGGCCUGGGAGCGCGGCCGGACGAGCUCUGACACCCCGAGGGCGCGACGCGCGCCAAGCAGACGAACAGAGAGGGCGCGCCGUCGCCCGGCCGGCGCCGGGGACGCAGCGCGCGCCUCCGAGGGAAAGUACGACUCUCGGCAACGGAUAUCUCGGCUCUCGCAUCGAUGAAGAACGCAGCGAGAUGCGAUACGUGGUGUGAAUUGCAGAAUCCCGCGAACCAUCGAGUCUUUGAACGCGAGUUGCGCCCGAGGCCGCUCGGCCGAGGGCACGCCUGCCUGGGCGUCACGCCCCCCGAACGCUCCCCAGCGCCGCCGCGGGGACGCGGAGACUGGCCGUCCGUGCGCUGCCCCGGCUCGCGGUCGGCCCAAACGCGCGUAGCCGUGCGGCGCGGCGCGACGUGUGGUGGUCCGGAGGCGAGGCUCGUCCCCGAUCGUACGUCGCGACGCUCCCUCUCGCACGGGGCGCCGCCGCAGGGACCCUGCCCGCCCGCUCCGGCGGGCGCUCGGAACGCGACCCCAGGUCAGGCGGGAACACCCGCUGAGUUUAAGCAUAUCAAUAAGCGGAGGAGAAGAAA
Molecule: small RNA, 748 nt
Filed under: Potoxylon melagangai
Lineage: Eukaryota; Viridiplantae; Streptophyta; Magnoliopsida; Laurales; Lauraceae
Description: eukaryotic LSU rRNA
Rfam family: 5.8S ribosomal RNA (bases 304-459)
Source: RNAcentral